This 664-nucleotide long non-coding RNA is filed under the name Mus musculus (house mouse). Its description in RNAcentral is "RIKEN cDNA 1700072O05 gene". The record is from RNAcentral. Lineage: Eukaryota; Metazoa; Chordata; Mammalia; Rodentia; Muridae.
AGUAUGUAUUAAAAGAUGACCUUGCAUUCCUCAUCCUCCUGCCUCAACCUCUCCAAUACUGGAAUUUCAGGCAUGUACCUCACAUGUGUGUGUGUGUGUGUGUGUGUUUGUCUAUGUGUGUGUGUGUGUGUGUGUGUGUCUAUGUGUGUGUGUGUGUGUCUGUGUGUGUGUGUGUCUGUGUGUGUGUUUUGCCUGAUUGUAUGUCUGUACCAUGUGCAUGCCUGGUACCUGAGGACUCCAGAAGAGGAUAUUGGAUCCCUUGGAACUGGAUUUACAAUUGUGAGCCGCCACGUAGGUGCCGGGAAGGUGGAAGAGCAGCAGCGUCUCUAAACUCCUGAGCUACCAUAGUGGGUUGGAUAAGAAUGGCCCUCAUAGGUUCGUAGGUUUGAAUACUUAGGGAUUGGGAGGUUUGGCCUUGUAGGAGUAGGUCUGACUUUGUAGGAGGAAGUGUAUCACUAGGGAUAGAUAGCCUUUGAAGUUUCAAAAGCCCAAGCCAUACCCACUGUCUCUCUCAUCCUGCUGACUACAGGUCCCCAUAAAGAACUCUCAGACUCUUAGCCAGCCCCAGGUCUGCCUGCAUUCAGCCAUGUUCCCCCCACCCCCCAUCGUGGACUACAGCUCUGAAACUGUAAUAAGUAACAAUUAAAUGCUUUCUUUUAUGAGA